RNAcentral lists this RNase P RNA (354 nucleotides) under Ancrocorticia populi. Its description in RNAcentral is "Bacterial RNase P class A". It matches the Rfam family "Bacterial RNase P class A". From Rfam's summary of the family: Ribonuclease P (RNase P) is a ubiquitous endoribonuclease, found in archaea, bacteria and eukarya as well as chloroplasts and mitochondria. Its best characterised activity is the generation of mature 5'-ends of tRNAs by cleaving the 5'-leader elements of precursor-tRNAs. Cellular RNase Ps are ribonucleoproteins. The record is from RNAcentral. Lineage: Bacteria; Bacillati; Actinomycetota; Actinomycetes; Actinomycetales; Actinomycetaceae.
GAGCUGGCUAGGCGGCCGCGUGGUGCGUGAAAGCGCGCCCCGAGGAACGUCCGGGCUCCACAGGGAACGGUGGUGGGUAACGCCCACCCGAGGUGACUCGCGGGAAAGCGCCACAGAAAACAGACCGCUUCGGGCAGUGUUCGGAGUAAGGGUGAAACGGCGGUGUAAGAGACCACCGCGUCUCAGGUGACUGAGGCGGCACGGCAAGCCCCACCGGGAGCAAGGUCGCACAGCGCACGUAGGCGUCCCGUUUAGUGCGUGGGUGGACUGCUAGAGCCAUGCGGCAACGUAUGGCGUAGAUGGAUGGCCGCCGCCGCGAAAGCGGCACAGAACCCGGCGUAUCGGCCAGCUCAU